Molecule: ribosomal RNA, 662 nt
Filed under: uncultured bacterium
Lineage: Bacteria
Description: bacterial SSU rRNA
Rfam family: Bacterial small subunit ribosomal RNA
Source: RNAcentral
GAGUUUGAUCAUGGCUCAGAACGAACGCUGGCGGCAGGCCUAAUACAUGCAAGUCGAGCGGACCUUUCGGGGUCAGCGGCGGACGGGUGAGUAACGCGUGGGAACAUGCCUUUCGGUGCGGAAUAACCGUUGGAAACGGCGGCUAAUGCUGCAUACGCCCUGAGUGGGGAAAGAUUUAUCGCCGAGGGAUUGGCCCGCGUUGGAUUAGGUAGUUGGUGGGGUAAAGGCCUACCAAGCCGACGAUCCAUAGCUGGUCUGAGAGGAUGAUCAGCCACACUGGGACUGAGACACGGCCCAGACUCCUACGGGAGGCAGCAGUAGGGAAUAUUGGACAAUGGGGGAAACCCUGAUCCAGCCAUGCCGCGUGAGUGAAGAAGGCCUUAGGGUUGUAAAGCUCUUUCACUGGCGAGGAUGAUGACGGUAGCCAGAGAAGAAGCCCCGGCAAACUUCGUGCCAGCAGCCGCGGUAAUACGAAGGGGGCGAGCGUUGUUCGGAAUUACUGGGCGUAAAGGGCGCGUAGGCGGCGCGUUGCGUCAGAGGUGAAAGCCCCGGGCUCAACCUGAGAACGGCCUUUGAUACGGGCGUGCUAGAAUCCAAGAGAGGGUGGUGGAAUUCCCAGUGUAGAGGUGAAAUUCGUAGAUAUUGGGAAGAACACCGGUGGC